Non-coding RNA from Nicotiana tabacum (common tobacco), 3087 nucleotides. The record is from RefSeq and is a predicted model, not a curated record. NCBI's taxonomy places the organism in Eukaryota, Viridiplantae, Streptophyta, Magnoliopsida, Solanales, Solanaceae.
CUCUUCUAUGUCACACAGCUUGUUUGUUUCUUGGGUCUCUCUGUGUAUAUAUCAUUUUUGCCUUCUCCAUUUUUCUUUGUUUGGUUUUUUCUUUGCUCAAUCACAUUCUUUUGAAAUCUUCAGUUUAUUUUGCUUCACUGCGUUCUGCCCGUUGCCGAUUUGUUGGUUUUUUCUGGUAUUUAGGUUAUAAUCAUUCUACAUGCAUCGAAUUUUCACUUUAUUGACAAUGUCAUCUCCAUGGUUAGCUUCUUUUACAACUUAAGUAUACCCUCUGUUGUGUCUAUUCUCCGUGGUUUUCCCUUUUUAUGGGUCUUUUGAUUAAAUUUUUAUUUUUUAAUUUUGGAUCUUUAUUCAGAUUUAGUGUUUCUUCUCUUUGUCCUUGACGUGGGUAUUUUCCCCAAAAAAAUUGUUGAUUCUCAUGUGUAUGCACUUACAUUUACUAUAAGGUGAAAGCAAACAAUUGCAAAAUAUAGUUACUAGGAAGCAGCAGCCGAAGUUUCAUAUCUCAAAAUUUGCUCUACCGGAAAAAUUGCCAUACAGUGUAGUGCGGGAAGCAAAGUAGCUACAUCACACGUAUGUAAAACCUUGCAGUAUAUUCUUGGAUAUAGUGGUCUCAAAACAAAAGGUACGUUUUUAUGGCUAUGAAUUCAUAAAAAGACAUCCGACAAGGUCAUCAACUAUUUGAAUUCUCAUUUAUCUAGAUGCAAAUAUAAAGUUUGCAACGUUUAAACAAGAGAUUGGAAUAAGCAUGUUUGGGGAGAGAAAAAGGAAUAAAUGAUCCAAGAGACCCCAUAUUCCUAUCUUGACAACUACUUUUCUGUUUAUUCAGUCAAUUACAGAUGACUACUCUGUUACAGGUAGACUACUGGACCAUAAAGUCAAACAGUCAAUAACUCGGCCUAGGAGUGUUUGAACUAGAGGAUCUUUUAUGAUCUACCAUCAGGAACUCAAUCCAAAAGUGUUUGAACUAGACUAUCUUUCUUGAUCUACCAUCUAACUUAAAAAAAAUUUCCUGAGUUUUUCUAUUUUUAAAAUAGGCAAAUAUGUGAUGAUUUUUUGCUUCAAAUGCUAUCGAUCCAAAAGAUAAAAUAUAUUAUGCUGGUAAUACAAGAAAAUAUGGUCAUUAAUGACACAAUAAUUAGUAUUUUUCUUCUUUUUAAAACAGAAAGUAUCAUUUUCCCUAUUUUAUAAAUUUAGUGUAAAUGCGACGAUUAAAGUCUCAUUCUAUUUUGGUGUUUUCUCCUGAGAGAUGAGUUUGACUUGAUUUUUCCUCAAAGAUUAAAGUGAGUUGCAUUUUUGAGGGAAAUACUUAUUCGAAUGAACAUAUUUUCUUGAAAAAUAAUUGUUUCUUGAGCGAAUUCUCGAUUUAGCUGAAGAGUUUAAUGGUGAGUUUGAUCUUCCCUUCAAAGAUGAAUCUUGAAGAGGCCGUGAUGAUAAUUGCUUUCCUGAGCUAUAAAAUUAUUUGAAAACAGAGACAAUCAAACCCUUAUAUAUCUUGGCAUGGUAAAACCACAAUAGUAUGUGAUUUGAGGCUUUUCUAUCACAUGCAAUAGUUUCUCGCCCUAUAAGAAAAAAAAUUGAGUCUCAAUUGUUUUCUUGUUAAGUUCUUGUUGGACUCUUAAAAAUAUAGACCUACGGAUUGCGAUUACUAUAUUUCAUCUGUGUGCAUUUUAGUAAAUGUUAAUUCCACCCUGGUGGAUAAGUCUUGAUGGUUGGAUAUUAUCAUUAUUUGAGGUUCUUACCUCUUUGUUUCUUUUCCAUCUACAAAUUACUUAGUUAGCCAUUGAGAAGCAUCUUAGUGAAAGGUGCAUUUUGCAUUAACUAGAUUGGUGUUUCUAGAUCUAUUAUCAAGUAGUCAUUGAGAAUAAGGUGAAACUAAAGUUUACAUAUCUGGAAAACGAGAAUUCACAACUAUUGCGGCUGGCGCAAUGCUACCGUGAUACCAGUAAGUAACAUUGAUUACCGAAGUCUUAUCGAUGUAUAUAUAAAGCAUUAGCGAUACCAUUCACAUUCAUAUAUUGUGAAAGUGUAUAUUCGUGAUUUAUAAUUUCUGGUGCACUGGAGAAGGUGAAUCAAUUCAUAUAUGAAGAUACCAACUCAAUAUCUUCUAUCAUUUAAAGAAAAUUUUGUUUUAUGUUGAGUGCACUAAUAUCAUACGACAUUGAAAGUUGGUUUAGUAUUGCUUAGAUCCAGGUUGUUCAUAGGUCCCCGUUUUUUUUUAAAUAUUCGUUCUCCGAUCUUUUACAGUGUUUGAGUUUAGAAGACCUUAGUUUAUAAAGGUUUUCUGUAAAAUUCUAUUUGUCCCAUUUAAAGCCAUUGAAAAGCAUAUAACAAGUGACAAGUGUCUGUUUAGUGAGAUCCUGGAAGAAUAAAAUGCUUCUCUAGCUUACAUAUAGGUAUAUCUUCUCUCUUGUGAUAAUUCUCUAUACCCCAUCUUUCAAGGAUGUGAGUAAUCAUUUUUCAAUUCGAGGUACUUAUCAAUUAGUUAAGGACUCUUCCUCAGACAGCAUCUUCCACUUUCAAUUCAGCAACAGUGAUAAUUCAAGAGACUGUAGAAGUAUGUCAUCUGUGUAUGAAGUUUUUCUUUAGAUUUUGUAAAGAUUCCAAUGUCAUAUUUGUAACUGUUGUAUCAAUAUCUCUCAACCAGGCAAGGUAAACGAUUCAGAGCUCCGAGAAAAAGCUAUUUAGAGGUUGGAAUAGUCGUUGAAAAUUAGAAUUGCUGCAAAUAGCUCAUCUCUCACAAUGUAUAUUUCAUAAUAUUUUGAAUAUCAUGUAGAACUUUUUUCCAGAAUGCAUGAAAAAACUGUGAAGUGUUAACAUGUUGUGCACAUUGAAUCAACUUGAUAGUAUUACUUCCUUUCUGGUGAUUAUACUAUACACUUUAAGCAAGUAUGAUUUUUUUUUGGUGUUGAAUUUUUUAAAUUAAUCUUGUAGAUGUGCCACAACCAAUGGUGUCGGGCAUAAGCCCGUGUGAUCCACGGGCACCGGCCAUCUAGUAUUGAUAUAAUUAAGUAAUUUGUGGCUAUAUACGAGCGAAUUGGUGGUGGAAUCAAGAGGUAAAGCGGUAGUUGAGGCAUGAAUUGUAUU